GACUCAACCACAUCGUUUCUUUCUUCUUCUCAGAGGUGCUCAACUUUAUUCAUCUCUCUCCCUCGGUCUAGGUCUCCACUCUCCAGACACACUCUCUCUCUCUCUCUCUCGGUCUCCCCUCCGGCCUCCCCUUCAUUCCAGCUCCUAGCCUCUAGAGUGCAGAGUGCUAUAAUAUGUGAUUAAAUGGGGCCGAGCAGAUUUGGAGGAUUGGUUAAAGGGCUUGGAGUUGCCAGGAGAAGGCCAUUUGCAACCUCCCUUCCUCUUCCUCCUCUUCCUCCUCCUCCACCGCCGCCGGUGAUGGAACGAUUGUUCGUGGCACUGGUAGCAAAUAAUUGAACCUCUACUCUGCCAUCAACCAAGCGCUCCACAUCGCCUUGGAAACUGAUCCUCGAAUUACUGUUGUAGAGUUGAGGUGGAGGAGAAGAAAGCAAAUGUACGUGGGGAUUUACCGUGUGUGAAUGAGCUUCGAAUGGAUAGAAGAGCCUUUGGUAUAAUGAACUGGGGCCUGACUCCUUUUUAAUAGGAUAUAGGCCUUAGAAUUGGAUUGUGUUGUCUUUGAAUUGUACCUCUGCUAGGUUUUGUGAUUAGUCGGAUCAUGACUUGUGUAUUUAUGCAAGCAUUUUUUCUUGGUAUCGAUACGGAACAUUUUACAUUA
This is a long non-coding RNA of Pyrus x bretschneideri (Chinese white pear), 655 nucleotides long. RefSeq lists it as uncharacterized. Lineage: Eukaryota; Viridiplantae; Streptophyta; Magnoliopsida; Rosales; Rosaceae. The transcript is spliced from 3 exons. The record is from RefSeq and is a predicted model, not a curated record.